Molecule: long non-coding RNA, 1001 nt
Organism: Sander lucioperca (pikeperch)
Lineage: Eukaryota; Metazoa; Chordata; Actinopteri; Perciformes; Percidae
Exons: 4
Source: RefSeq, a predicted model, not a curated record
AAUCCUUCUCCACCGGAGACUGUCCUAUAACAUUAUCCCGUCACAAUCCGGCUGUAGCAGUACCUGGUGCAGGCAGCUCCAGCUUUGCCUUCCUGAGCUCAGUCAUGGACGCCUGUAGCUGCUCGACCACAAAGUCGUCCUCAAAGAAGAAAUCUUUGGACAAAGUCACCUGCAGAAACUCCACCAGCUCCUCCAUGGACAGCUUCAUCAGGUGUUGUUUCAGUUUGGGCAUCAUCUUCUUGAGGAUGCGGUCGUGGUGAUCCUGGAAACGUAUCAGCUUCGGGAAGCCGGGGAUAAAAAACCCUAAAGGCUGUGACGCGAGCAUCGGGAAGGUGGUAAGUUAUGAGUCUGCCACGACCCGGCGGAUCUGUGGGAAACCAAUCUUAGACAACAACGCAGUCAACCUGUUCACCUCCGUCAUCAUCACACUCGUCCUGCCAGGGCUGGCAUGGGGGAUGCGGCCUCGAUAGACUGACAACUGUCAAUGCAGCGGAGCCGGACGACUAAUAUGAGACGGACUGCUGAUUAUUUGAGUAAUAUGUUGGUUGUUGUUGAUCACAGAAGCAUCACACUAAAAGUUAAUACAACACACUCUCUGCCUGCAUACUUGAGAGGCUCUGAUCAUGAUAUAUCUCUUUGGAAGAAAAAAGUACAGGAAAUAAAUACUAACCAGUAAAAACUUUACAGUAACUGAUGGACAGAGGAUAUUUAUGCAGGUUUUAGGAGAACGUUUUAUGGCCCGCAUGCAUAUAUGGAAUAGUAAUGAAAUGGGUUGUGUUUUUGUUCUGUAUUUUAAAUUUGAAGCUGGUUUGUGCCCGCUUAAUGUGAUGUUCCAGUACUUAAGACUGAUUUCUGGUAUUGUUACGACCAUAAUUUAUGCAGUAUGUUUCCAAGUGAGCCUCAGUCUUCACAGUAUGAAUUUACAUGUCAGUAAUUCAAAAUGUAUUUCCUGCCAUUGGCUGUUCAUACUUUCAAAUAAAAGGUGUUUUUUGUUUGUGUGU